UCCCUUGUAGCUCAGUCGGUAAAGAGUCUGCCUGCAAUGCAGGAGACCCAGGUUCAAUCUCUGGGUUGGGAA
Molecule: transfer RNA, 72 nt
Filed under: Bos taurus (domestic cattle)
Lineage: Eukaryota; Metazoa; Chordata; Mammalia; Artiodactyla; Bovidae
Also listed under: 4 other names
Rfam family: tRNA
About the family: Transfer RNA (tRNA) molecules are approximately 80 nucleotides in length. Their secondary structure includes four short double-helical elements and three loops (D, anti-codon, and T loops).
Source: Rfam by way of RNAcentral